RNAcentral lists this ribosomal RNA (774 nucleotides) under uncultured Neocallimastigales. RNAcentral describes it as "partial large subunit ribosomal RNA". It matches the Rfam family "Eukaryotic large subunit ribosomal RNA", at positions 23 to 622 of the family's 3401-position model. Lineage: Eukaryota; Fungi; Neocallimastigomycota; Neocallimastigomycetes; Neocallimastigales. The record is from RNAcentral.
AGAGAGAGACAUGCGCGCAUAUCAAUAAGCGGAGGAAAAGAAACUAACAAGGAUUCCCUUAGUAACGGCGAGUGAAGCGGGAAGAGCUCAAAUUUGAAAUCUUCAAGGUUUUACCUUGACGAAUUGUAGUUUAAAGAAGUGUUUUCUGCUGAAGUUUUGGUAAAAGUUCUUUGGAAUAGGACAUCAUAGAGGGUGAGAAUCCCGUAUUUGACCAUUAUUUUCAGCUUUGUGAUACACCUUCAAAGAGUCGGAUUGUUUGGGAAUGCAGUCCAAAAUGGGUGGUAAAUUUCAUCUAAAGCUAAAUAUUGGCGAGAGACCGAUAGCGAACAAGUACCGUGAGGGAAAGAUGAAAAGAACUUUGAAAAGAGAGUUAAACAGUACGUGAAAUUGUCAAAAGGGAAGCGUUUGACACCAGUGUUGUUUUCUCGAAAAUCAAUUAAAAAUGGCUCGAUUUUGUAUUGCUUGAGACCUUAAAAGCUCACUGUACAUUUUUCGUGUCUUUUUUAAUGCACUUUUCGUUUAACAAGUCAACAUCAGUUUCUUUUGUUGUAUAAGGGUCAUUGGAAGGUGGCUUUCUUUUCGGAGAAAGUGUUUAUAGCCUUUGGCCUCUGCAAUCGAAGAGACUGAGGUCUGCAGCGUAGACUCUUCGGGGUUAGAUACAUUUGUGCUAAGUUAUAGCUUUUUAUAGACAACUUGUUGACUAUAAUUAGUCUUGUAGCUUACUCGCUUAUGCUAUUUUACCUACGCUUAGGAUGUUGAGUCGUAGAGCACGAG